GUCAAUAUUUGGCUUCUCGGUGGAAUAGACAUUGAGCUGAUCAUUUAUCGAGGAGUUCAAUAAUAUGUCUGGGAGUGUUGUGUGUUUGUCUGAAGGAGUGGUGUGUGUUUGUCUGAAGGAGUGGUGUGUGUUUGUCUGGGAGUGUUGUGUGUUUGUCUGAAGGAGUGGUGUGUGUUUGUCUGAAGGAGUGGUGUGUGUUUGUCUGAAGGAGUGUUGUGUGUUUGUCUGAAGGAGUGGUGUGUGUUUGGGAGUGUUGUGUGUUUGUCUGAAGGAGUGGUGUGUGUUUGUCUGGGAGUGUUGUGUGUUUGUCUGAAGGAGUGGUGUGUGUUUGGGAGAGUUGUGUGUUUGUCUGAAGGAGUGGUGUGUGUUUGUCUGGGAGAGUGGUGUGUGUUUGGGAGUGUUGUGUGUUUGUCUGAAGGAGUGGUGUGUGUUUGUCUGGGAGUGUUGUGUGUUUGUCUGAAGGAGUGAUGUGUGUUUGUCUGGGAGUGUUGUGUGUUUGUCUGAAGGAGUGGUGUGUGUUUGUCUGGGAGUGUUGUGUAUUAGGGGUUGAGUCAGGGAGCUCUCCAUCUUGUCAGUGUUACCUCCCUGGAGAUGGGUGUCUUAGCCUCCCCCUCACACACAAAUGCGCUGCAUC
This is a long non-coding RNA of Oncorhynchus tshawytscha (Chinook salmon), 634 nucleotides long. The record is from Ensembl. Lineage: Eukaryota; Metazoa; Chordata; Actinopteri; Salmoniformes; Salmonidae.